Molecule: ribosomal RNA, 305 nt
Filed under: uncultured bacterium
Lineage: Bacteria
Description: bacterial SSU rRNA
Rfam family: Bacterial small subunit ribosomal RNA
Source: RNAcentral
GCGGCCCUACGGGGCGCAGCAGUAGGGAAUUUUCGUCAAUGGGCGCAAGCCUGAACGAGCAAUGCCGCGUGAACGAGGAAGGUCUUCGGAUCGUAAAGUUCUGUUGAAGGGGAAAAAGAGCGGAGAGAGGAAAUGGUCUCCGACUGAUAUUACCCUUCGAGGAAGCCACGGCUGACUACGUGCCAGCAGCCGCGGUAAUACGUAGGUGGCGAGCGUUAUCCGGAAUGAUUGGGCGUAAAGGGUGCGUAGGCGGCCUGCUAAGUCUGGAGUGAAAGGUACCGGCUCAACCGGUAUAGGCUCUGGAA